Long non-coding RNA from Orbicella faveolata, 3422 nucleotides. NCBI's taxonomy places the organism in Eukaryota, Metazoa, Cnidaria, Anthozoa, Scleractinia, Merulinidae. The record is from RefSeq and is a predicted model, not a curated record.
UUAAAUAAAAUGAACGAUCUCACUUUUAUUUACAUUUCCAAUAAUAACCUCGGAAAUGCAACUUCAGAACAAUUCGCGAAACCAGCGUAAGUGUUAUAACGAGCAGACCCACAGAAAAUCUUCGCAGUGUUUCAGGUUUCAAGGGAAAUUUAGGAAUGUAAAUUCUUACGCGGUGAGGUUGGUAAACCGCAUUUGAGUCAAACUUUACAACACAGUAAAUAACUUCUGUUUUAUCGCAUUUUACAUCCGCUGACGACGCUACUGUCAAUGAAAUGAUUCGAGUUUCCAGUUGUGUAUCGACGUUGUUUUCUGGAGAACAAACAAAGUUCUUGUGGCCGUUAUUGUGUUCACCCUACAGGAUGUCAAUCAGCGAAACAAGUGCAUUGUUAUAUUCCCCUGGGAGACAUCGGCAGCUGUUCACGAUACUCGACCUCACUCAAUAGCGCACCACACGCGCGCUGUGAUUGGUCGGUUGCUUCGUUGUGUCGAUAGCCGGUAAAUUGGUAUUAUGACGCAAACCAUUGAUAACUUAAUGACGUCUCUAUGACAGGCGGAGACCACUGACAAUGCUUUGCGCGCUGGCUUUCAGGCUUGGCAGCUGUUGAAUCUGUGUCCGGUAGAUGCUCCUGCUUCAGUCUACGCUAGCUUUAAACCUUUGAUAAUCUUCACACGUCCCCCAAAACAGCCUUUUUUUACGCCUGAAGUAUCGACCAUCAUCUAGCGAGGCAGCGUCCAGAUCUCGUGAUUCGUCGCGUGAAUUUCCACGGUCUCUUCAUCGUGCUGGUCAUGUCAAACCACAGCGCACUGAGUUCCUCAUCUGAUGGCGAGAGGAGAACCCCUCAGGAUAACUGUGACGGCAAGCGAGCCGCUCGCGGCCGGGGUGCCAGCCCCCGGCCCCUGAAAUCAGCUUCAACAUCUGCUAAGAGAAUUCAGCGAGAACUGGCCGAGAUCGCUUUGGAUCCUCCACCAAAUUGCAGGUAAUAUUUCCUCAUCCUUCGACCUCAAAUAAGACACCAGACUCCUGAAUCCCUUGUUUGGACUGAAAACAAUAGAUCUACACGGUUUUGUUUCCUGAAUUAUGCCAGGUUGCCAUAAAGCCUUGAUCAUUACUAUAUUGAACAACACGACUGGUCCUCUGGCAAAACACGAUUUUCCUAUCCAGCUUAAAAAAACAGCGGGAAUUCUCAUCAAAUAUGCCCCCGAUUAGGAAAUUUCUGCCAACAAGAUAGACGCGUAAGGAUAAAUUAUUUAUUUUAAGUGGUAAAGACAUUUACUAUAAAGCCACGUGGGAUUUGAAUGUGCAAAGAGCCUUUGUUUUGUUAACUUCAACUAGAUAUGCUAAGCCUGGCUGCGCACGGUUUGUUCCUUGACAACUGUUUGUCAUAAUAAACUCGUUUUUCUGGUGACAGAGGUUAAAAUAUCGUAUUCGACUUCUAUCCUUUUCCACAGUCAAGCUGUUGUAUUCGUCUUUGGUAAUUUUUGAAAUGCUGUAAUUGAUACGUUAAAUAUUUAAAGGACUGAACAUUUAGCGAGACCUCGUUGUGCGGCAAAAUGCUUGAUUUAUCGUCUCCCAAUCUUGAUAUAUUGUAUGUAAAUGCACAAUUUCACCUGCCGUGCAAUAAUAUUUCGUAUCCAAGUCUUCAAGCAAAACACGGUUUCUCAACUCGGUCAUUUCAUUAAAACAUUACCCAAGCAAAAGUCGACAUAAGUUCAAUUUGAUAACGGGGAUUUCUUGUCGUUUAUUGUAGCUAGUUCUUCAAUAUUUUUUUAUGGCGUUUUGGAAACGCAAUAUUUGCCUAAUCGUCUGGAAUUUUGCUAAUUGCAGAGGUCCAUACUACUUAACAUCACUGGAGCUGCUAAGUGUUCCAUUAAGUUUGGCAAAGAGCAAAUUCAAACAACACAAGACCGCCUAUCUUAGUAAACGUAUGCUAACUUUAGAGAACCGUUUGGGAAAGAAUCUCGUCAAGUUAUUAAAAUAGUGUCCGAGUAAGCUGCACUUUGCUUUGAUCAGGCUGUAAUUAGCCUUGUCCAGCCAGUAUAGAUAACAGCACGCGGUCUCCAUCUUACAUGUUUUAUAUUUUGAUCAUUUCAUUUCAGUCGUGGGAAAAUUUACAUAAACAAAUAAAACUAGUUGUAGUCAAAUUGUGAGUUCUCGUGGGUGUAAAUAAUAUGUCAUUCAAGACAAAAACAUUUACAUUGUGCUUGUAUUACUGUUUACAACUUCAAACGGUUUUUACUCGAUGAAUCUGCAUUGUACAAUAUUGUGUUAUUAAUGAGGUUAAGGCGGUCUAUAUUGACCCUAUAUUGUUCCAAAAUGAUGCCGCGGUUUUCUACAUUAUUUAUAAAUUCUUUAAUGUGCUAAGUCAGUGUGCAAUGCCCUGAUCAAAACCACCUAUGAUUCUCUGAUUAAAAUGCCAUUUACGAGACUUCAAGGAACACUUGAGGUAUUAAGAAUUUGCAAAAGAUAUUUCCUUUCCACUUCGCAAGCGAUAUAUUAAGGACCAACAUUAAACGUUUUACGGUACACAGACUAAGUAAUCUGUACAAUACACUAGAGAUAAAUGUUUUUGUCAAUGUAACAGGCUUUAUGAAGCAACGUGUUAACGAGUAGUGUUCAAAUUGCGCCAUAAAUCUCUGCAAUCCGGUGAAUUUUUGACAAAAAAUCAAUAAGGCAUAGAUCUGAACCAAAAAAUUUCGGAUGCACUGAAGAAGGACAGAGUAGGUUUAAAUGAUUAUUAAUUAAACUGUGAGGAAUUUUCUGAGCAGCGUAAAUUGGAUUUAUCUCUACUAACUAAUUUAAUCGUCCCAGCUAUAUAUAGCACUUUGACUAAUCCUUUUUGUUAAGUUUCUUCCGAAAAGUCCUUACUGUAAAUUUAUGAAAUUUUUCAACGACAAGCCUUGCUUUUCAGAAAGCCACGUAAGCUUCAUUAAUAAGGUUUCAUUAUUAUUAUUUUUUUAUAUAACAUAGGAAAGGGCUGCUAAAAAUUGUCAGCACGCGCGAGCGGUCCGGAAUAAAGAUAUCUGUGCCUUUCGUUAGCCAAUCAGUUUGCACGAUUCAUUUCAUCUUGACCGCACGUUGAGCGAAAAGAAGAAAAUAAUAUAGUUCACCGGAUAUAAUUUUUGACAAUUUUAAGCUGGCGGCAAAAUGUUCUUAAUUUAUUCUACGGUAUUAAUGUCAUCUGUCUAAAGUUACGCAUAACGACACAAAAGUAAUUUUUCUUCUAAAUAUUUAUCUGUGCCAGAAAAACUGAGAUUUUCUUUUAACGAAGACCCAAUCAGACAGACAAAGAUUUAUGAUACAGAUUUCUACCUUAAAAAUACCCUGUAACGUACAAAUAUUUUAUAAACAAUCGGUCAUUCGGCCUGCGAAAAGACCGAUAAUUAUGCACAAAAACAUUUUUAACCACAUUAAAUAAUUUAAC